Long non-coding RNA from Notothenia coriiceps (black rockcod), 186 nucleotides. RefSeq lists it as uncharacterized. The transcript has 3 exons. The record is from RefSeq and is a predicted model, not a curated record. NCBI's taxonomy places the organism in Eukaryota, Metazoa, Chordata, Actinopteri, Perciformes, Nototheniidae.
UCGGCAGCAUCACAGCUCCUUACAGUAUGUCAUAUAUUUAGGUAGUUAUAAUAAGGCUCUUCCUUAUAUCCUCAUGGGAAGUCUCACAAUUUCCUCAUCUGCCUUCUCCUUCUGGAGACCCUCAACAGAGAUCUUCCAGAAACAGUGGAGCAGAUGCAGGAAUGUCAGGGGUUGUGUAAUGGGCUG